GGGUGCUCGAGUGGCGAACGGGUGAGUAACACGUGAGUAACCUGCCCUUGACUUUGGGAUAACUUCAGGAAACUGGGGCUAAUACCGGAUAGGAGCUCCUGCUGCAUGGUGGGGGUUGGAAAGUUUCGGCGGUUGGGGAUGGACUCGCGGCUUAUCAGCUUGUUGGUGGGGUAGUGGCUUACCAAGGCUUUGACGGGUAGCCGGCCUGAGAGGGUGACCGGCCACAUUGGGACUGAGAUACGGCCCAGACUCCUACGGGAGGCAGCAGUGGGGAAUAUUGCACAAUGGGCGGAAGCCUGAUGCAGCAACGCCGCGUGCGGGAUGACGGCCUUCGGGUUGUAAACCGCUUUCGCCUGUGACGAAGCGUGAGUGACGGUAAUGGGUAAAGAAGCACCGGCUAACUACGUGCCAGCAGCCGCGGUGAUACGUAGGGUGCGAGCGUUGUCCGGAUUUAUUGGGCGUAAAGGGCUCGUAGGUGGUUGAUCGCGUCGGAAGUGUAAUCUUGGGGCUUAACCCUGAGCGUGCUUUCGAUACGGGUUGACUUGAGGAAGGUAGGGGAGAAUGGAAUUCCUGGUGGAGCGGUGGAAUGCGCAGAUAUCAGGAGGAACACCAGUGGCGAAGGCGGUUCUCUGGGCCUUUCCUGACGCUGAGGAGCGAAAGCGUGGGGAGCGAACAGGCUUAGAUACCCUGGUAGUCCACGCUGUAAACGGUGGGUACUAGGUGUGGGGUCCAUUCCACGGGUUCCGUGCCGUAGCUAACGCUUUAAGUACCCCGCCUGGGGAGUACGGCCGCAAGGCUAAAACUCAAAGGAAUUGACGGGGCCCCGCACAAGCGGCGGAGCAUGCGGAUU
Molecule: ribosomal RNA, 850 nt
Filed under: Propionibacterium sp. feline oral taxon 326
Lineage: Bacteria; Bacillati; Actinomycetota; Actinomycetes; Propionibacteriales; Propionibacteriaceae
Description: bacterial SSU rRNA
Rfam family: Bacterial small subunit ribosomal RNA
Source: RNAcentral